GUCCCCGUAGCUCAGUGGAUAGAGCAUCAGCUUGCGGAGCUGGGGGUCGCAGGUUCAAAUCCUGCCGGGGACG
This 73-nucleotide transfer RNA is filed under the name Parcubacteria group bacterium CG1_02_40_82. RNAcentral's name for it is "tRNA-Arg". It matches the Rfam family "tRNA". Rfam says of the family: Transfer RNA (tRNA) molecules are approximately 80 nucleotides in length. Their secondary structure includes four short double-helical elements and three loops (D, anti-codon, and T loops). Further hydrogen bonds mediate the characteristic L-shaped molecular structure. tRNAs have two regions of fundamental functional importance: the anti-codon, which is responsible for specific mRNA codon recognition, and the 3' end, to which the tRNAs corresponding amino acid is attached (by aminoacyl-tRNA synthetases). tRNAs cope with the degeneracy of the genetic code in two manners: having more than one tRNA (with a specific anti-codon) for a particular amino acid; and 'wobble' base-pairing, i.e. permitting non-standard base-pairing at the 3rd anti-codon position. The record is from RNAcentral. RNAcentral also lists the same sequence under 6 other names.